Cygnus olor (mute swan) is the source of this 556-nucleotide long non-coding RNA. RefSeq lists it as uncharacterized. The transcript is spliced from 3 exons. NCBI's taxonomy places the organism in Eukaryota, Metazoa, Chordata, Aves, Anseriformes, Anatidae. The record is from RefSeq and is a predicted model, not a curated record.
GACCUAGACACCCUACACAUCUCAAUGUGCCAUGUUCUUCUGGGCACCACUGCACGUCACCACUUGGCGUGGUGGAAAGGGAGCAGAGGCCCGUUAAGGUUACAUGAGAGCAGCUGGAGCUGCUCUGCUCAGCAACCAUGCGCAGGUGAUGAGGGUUGGCCAGAGCCUGGCUCCCCUCCCCUCCAGAGGGGAUAAAAAGCCUUCCAGCUCGAGGGGGUACUUCAUAACAUGGCAGCAGGAACGGAGGAACUUUUAAGGCAAGGAAUGUUUCUGCAGAGCUGCAGGCUACUGCUAGUUGGUUUGCAAGAAGGCAAAGAUGGAGGCUGCCCUUUUGGUGAGAGUGGAAGGGAACCAGCGCUUUGCCAGGCAGGGGAAGAAGAGAGAGAUGAAAUCCCACUUAAAGAGAAGAGCAAUGCACAGCAAUUCCUGAACGCACCAAAUGACAAAGCUGCCCACCUGUCAGAACCAGAGAGGGGGUAGAUAUCGGUACCGUCCCAAAAGUCUGUGCAGGCCUCAAGGAUGAUGUCAGCUGUCCCAUGAGAAAACAUCUGUUCAG